Molecule: long non-coding RNA, 380 nt
Organism: Acromyrmex echinatior (Panamanian leafcutter ant)
Lineage: Eukaryota; Metazoa; Arthropoda; Insecta; Hymenoptera; Formicidae
Source: RefSeq, a predicted model, not a curated record
UGUACAAACGUAGCAAAAUUAAAAAAUUCUAUACCAAAAAUUGAUAGUUUGAUAUAUAAUCGUAGCACUUGUUUAACAAGAAUAAUCUAAAAUGAAAUAAAUUGAUAAUGCUUUUUAAGUCUAUAUGUCAAUAUUUCAAAUCCACUGUAAGGCACAACUAAACAUAGAGAUCUCGAAGGUGGGAAUAGAGCGAGUGUCGCGUUAAUAAAUCUUGCGAGAACGUCGUCGAUACAAAAUGAUGCCAUUAGGUCAUUACUGACAAUGAGUGACAGCACGAAGACAACACAGGACAACGAGGAUCAACCCGUCACGCUCAUCUUUCUUAACUAUGGAAAAGAAAGAAUUUUCUCAUAUUGUACAUAAAGGGAUUGUAAAAAGAA